UACGGAGGGGGCUAGCGUUGUUCGGAAUUACUGGGCGUAAAGCGCACGUAGGCGGCUUUGUAAGUUAGAGGUGAAAGCCCAGGGCUUAACCCUGGAAUUGCCUUUAAGACUGCAUCGCUAGAAUCGUGGAGAGGUGAGUGGAAUUCCGAGUGUAGAGGUGAAAUUCGUAGAUAUUCGGAAGAACACCAAUAACGGCGAAGGCAGUUAACUAUUCUGUUACUGACAUUGAGGCACGAAAGCGUGGGGAGCAAAACGG
Molecule: ribosomal RNA, 256 nt
Filed under: uncultured bacterium
Lineage: Bacteria
Description: partial 16S ribosomal RNA
Rfam family: Bacterial small subunit ribosomal RNA
Source: RNAcentral